RNAcentral lists this long non-coding RNA (2887 nucleotides) under Gigantopelta aegis. RNAcentral describes it as "uncharacterized LOC121386952, transcript variant X1". Lineage: Eukaryota; Metazoa; Mollusca; Gastropoda; Neomphalida; Peltospiridae. The record is from RNAcentral.
AUGUAAUGCAGUGCAGUCCAUUGUGUUUGAGAUAAAAAUUGUUACUGCGCUCUGAUAGUUGGUGUAAACUGUAUGUAGAGAGAUAGAGAGAGAGAGCGACGGUCCGCCAUGCUUGUUUGGCAGACUUUAAAUUUGUCCUCGCUGUGUUGUCUUCCUCAUUUUCUGGUCUAUCCCAGAACAGUGUUUGGUGGAUUUUUGCCUUCUAUAUUGGACACCUUCUUUAAUCUUUAGAUAAUCUGGUUGAAUCCCCAUUCUGGGCUGAGCAUGCCCUGCUAUGAGUCCGUCAGACAUGCGGCCGCUGCGUUUUCCCGCCUGAAUCGCGUCCCCUUGAUUUAGUUGUAGGUGAUGCACACAGUCUUUUAGAAUGCACCAAGUGAGAGCCUAGUAUGCAGUGAUAUAAGAUUAUUUUGACUUUAAACUUUGUCUGAGAUUCUUGACAUUCUUUGGUGGAAGUGGAAUGAUGAGCUAGCAUAUCAGGUUGAGGGCGGGAGAUGGAUGUUAGGAUGGGUGGGCAGACGGCCAGGCAGCCAUACUGGUUUGGCAUGCAGGCCAUUUUUGUCAGUACAGGUUUUCAGUCAUCGUCGAUGAUGAUGAUGAUGAUGAUGAUGAUUUUUGUGGUGGUGGUGUGCUGCCCACACCCAAGAGAUGGGCGAGGUAUUAUGGGUGGUUUGUGCUUUGUGUGUCUGCUCGUGUGUGAGAUGCAGUGUACUGCAGUUUGGUGUCCUACUUCUGCUCAGUGGCGGUGCACCCAACUCACGUUUGGUGAUGGCUCUCUGUAAUGGCGGACCUGGCUAGUCACUAUGCAUGCUAGUGGCAGGUGGGCAAAGUUGCUUGGUGUCAUGCUUUUGUAGUAGUGUGCGUGUCUCGUAGGGCAUUUUUCUGCGGUCACAAGAUGACAUGCAGGCCUGAAUAUAAGGCAGAAAAAUAUCUUGCCAGUGUGCAAGUAAACGUCGCGCAUGCGCCUCUGACCUGGCAGCAGUGCACUUCAUUUUAUAAACCGCCAAAUUCUCACCAGAUACACACAAAUGCAUGUUUAUGGGGUCUGCCGUUUGGCACCCACGGAUUGUUGUACCAAGAUGCCGGAUUUGCGGUGCAUGUUUAAUGGAUACACGUCCAGACGGUGGGUGUAGCUAUGCUUUUGAAAUUUUCUUUCAUUUGACUGCUGCACUGUUCAAGUGUGUCUUGUUGAAAAGGGUGUCAUUUGGUGGUGUGCGUCUGUUGCACAUAGACGAACGCAGCAUGGCUGAAUGAGGUCAUACUGUCUGGAGGUGCAAAUCACAGAUACUUUGAAGUAUCUGAAAUCAAUUCGCUUUCCAAAAUGGCUGCUUGCAGACUGCAGAUUUAGGUGUCAUCUCUGGGAUAUUUGGAUAUUGUGUUUCUGCCAUCAAGUAACAGGUGCCUUGCAUGGAUCCAGCCACACAACUAACCUGUUAAAGCCGUUUGUGUAAAUUUACACAAUGAUGAUGCAACAACACAGCAAGCCAAAUGGGUCUGAAAUGCAAGAGUGAUAACACUGACAGAUGUUACAAACAAACAUACAGAUGAACAGACGUACUAUUACAUGUCAGAAUGUAAAAAAUGGUAGACAGUCUUGACAGGCAGUUCGACUUGCUUCCCCGAUUGAAAUCCAUGAUGCUGUGUUUCUCUUGGGUGUGAUACGAACGUAACUCUGUGUGCUAGGAACCGUGUGCUGUCAGAAGACACUGUUUGGAAACAGUGUGUUGGCUGUUGGCUGUCAUCGGUGGCAGGACUGGUGUAAAGACUCCAAGUCCAGGAGACCAGAACGGUCUGCAGGGUGGAACUGCAGGUCCUACGCAGCAGGAUCUUAAAACAAAACCAAUGGCAGCGCUCGGGAUGUAAAACCACACGGAACGGCAACGAUUGGAUGAGCUACGCGCUAAAUCAUUGCUGGAUCUGUAUCAUUCAAAAUAUGGAUUUAUAUAAUGUGAUCCCAUGGAAUUAUACAUGGCCAGAUCGGUGGAUUAUAAAACCGUGUAUUUUCAGCAGCACCGGAGAACUACGUGAUUCUAGGUCUGAGGCAGAAUUAACCCUGGUGUGUCAAUGCUUGAUCACCAUCGACUCCCUUGGGAAGACAAUCAUCAGUUAAUGUUUGCAUUUACCAUAGGUUUGACACCCAAUAGCCGAUGUAUUUUUCGUGCUGGGGUGUUAUGUUGUUAAACAUCUGUUCUAUUUUGUUUAUUCUAUAGCCUGGGAGACAAGAUUAUGUUUUGGGUAGGAUGUAGCCGGGGUGUUAUGUUGUUAAACAUCUAUUCUAUUCUGUCUAUUUUAUAGCCUAGGAGACAAGAUUAUGUGUAGGCAGGAUGUAGGUGUGAUGGGUUGCAGGAUCGAUCCCCAUCAGUGGACCCACUGGCUUCUAUACCCUGUCCCAGCCAUUGUCCAUUGACAACAAGUUGUCCUGGAGUUGGGGUGGAGUUCACUGGUGGAGAACUAGCAUGAUGGCCAAUGGAUGAUGUCCUCGAUUGAUUUCUUUUGAUGUUUUCACUUAGUGCUACACAACUGUUGCAUAUCAAAGGCCAUGAUAUGUAUGUUGUCCUGUCUUUGGAAAAGUGCCUAUAAAAGAUAUUUUUCUGCAAUUCACAAAGAAUAAGAGUAGCAAGGGUCACAAUUACUAUAUAUUAAAGACGAAGGUUAAUGGUUAUGAGAGAGAACGAGGGUUAAUGGUUAGUGAGAGAAGCUAGGGGUUAAUCGUUAUGAGAGAGAAUGAAGGUUAAUGGUUAGUGAGAGAGAACGAGGGUUAAUGGUGAGAAAGAGAAUGAGGGUUAGUGAGAAAGAAUGUCUGUUAAUGGUUAGUGAGAGAGAUUCAGUGGAUCCAUUCAGCUGAUUGGGUUGUUUUUUUGUUCCAGCCAGUGCACGACAACUGGUCAAA